GGUUAAGCGACUAAGCGUACACGGUGGAUGCCCUGGCAGUCAGAGGCGAUGAAGGACGUGCUAAUCUGCGAUAAGCGUCGGUAAGGUGAUAUGAACCGUUAUAACCGGCGAUUUCCGAAUGGGGAAACCCAGUGUGAUUCGUCACACUAUCAUUAACUGAAUCCAUAGGUUAAUGAGGCGAACCGGGGGAACUGAAACAUCUAAGUACCCCGAGGAAAAGAAAUCAACCGAGAUUCCCCCAGUAGCGGCGAGCGAACGGGGAGCAGCCCAGAGCCUGAAUCAGUGUGUGUGUUAGUGGAAGCGUCUGGAAAGGCGCGCGAUACAGGGUGACAGCCCCGUACACAAAAAUGCACAUACUGUGAGCUCGAUGAGUAGGGCGGGACACGUGGUAUCCUGUCUGAAUAUGGGGGGACCAUCCUCCAAGGCUAAAUACUCCUGACUGACCGAUAGUGAACCAGUACCGUGAGGGAAAGGCGAAAAGAACCCCGGCGAGGGGAGUGAAAAAGAACCUGAAACCGUGUACGUACAAGCAGUGGGAGCACGCUUAGGCGUGUGACUGCGUACCUUUUGUAUAAUGGGUCAGCGACUUAUAUUCUGUAGCAAGGUUAACCGAAUAGGGGAGCCGAAGGGAAACCGAGUCUUAACUGGGCGUUAAGUUGCAGGGUAUAGACCCGAAACCCGGUGAUCUAGCCAUGGGCAGGUUGAAGGUUGGGUAACACUAACUGGAGGACCGAACCGACUAAUGUUGAAAAAUUAGCGGAUGACUUGUGGCUGGGGGUGAAAGGCCAAUCAAACCGGGAGAUAGCUGGUUCUCCCCGAAAGCUAUUUAGGUAGCGCCUCGUGAAUUCAUCUCCGGGGGUAGAGCACUGUUUCGGCAAGGGGGUCAUCCCGACUUACCAACCCGAUGCAAACUGCGAAUACCGGAGAAUGUUAUCACGGGAGACACACGGCGGGUGCUAACGUCCGUCGUGAAGAGGGAAACAACCCAGACCGCCAGCUAAGGUCCCAAAGUCAUGGUUAAGUGGGAAACGAUGUGGGAAGGCCCAGACAGCCAGGAUGUUGGCUUAGAAGCAGCCAUCAUUUAAAGAAAGCGUAAUAGCUCACUGGUCGAGUCGGCCUGCGCGGAAGAUGUAACGGGGCUAAACCAUGCACCGAAGCUGCGGCAGCGACGCUGAUGCGUUGUUGGGUAGGGGAGCGUUCUGUAAGCCUGUGAAGGUGUACUGUGAGGUAUGCUGGAGGUAUCAGAAGUGCGAAUGCUGACAUAAGUAACGAUAAAGCGGGUGAAAAGCCCGCUCGCCGGAAGACCAAGGGUUCCUGUCCAACGUUAAUCGGGGCAGGGUGAGUCGACCCCUAAGGCGAGGCCGAAAGGCGUAGUCGAUGGGAAACAGGUUAAUAUUCCUGUACUUGGUGUUACUGCGAAGGGGGGACGGAGAAGGCUAUGUUGGCCGGGCGACGGUUGUCCCGGUUUAAGCGUGUAGGCUGGUUUUCCAGGCAAAUCCGGAAAAUCAAGGCUGAGGCGUGAUGACGAGGCACUACGGUGCUGAAGCAACAAAUGCCCUGCUUCCAGGAAAAGCCUCUAAGCAUCAGGUAACAUCAAAUCGUACCCCAAACCGACACAGGUGGUCAGGUAGAGAAUACCAAGGCGCUUGAGAGAACUCGGGUGAAGGAACUAGGCAAAAUGGUGCCGUAACUUCGGGAGAAGGCACGCUGAUAUGUAGGUGAAGUCCCUCGCGGAUGGAGCUGAAAUCAGUCGAAGAUACCAGCUGGCUGCAACUGUUUAUUAAAAACACAGCACUGUGCAAACACGAAAGUGGACGUAUACGGUGUGACGCCUGCCCGGUGCCGGAAGGUUAAUUGAUGGGGUUAGCGCAAGCGAAGCUCUUGAUCGAAGCCCCGGUAAACGGCGACCGUAACUAUAACGGUCCUAAGGUAGCGAAAUUCCUUGUCGGGUAAGUUCCGACCUGCACGAAUGGCGUAAUGAUGGCCAGGCUGUCUCCACCCGAGACUCAGUGAAAUUGAACUCGCUGUGAAGAUGCAGUGUACCCGCGGCAAGACGGAAAGACCCCGUGAACCUUUACUAUAGCUUGACACUGAACAUUGAGCCUUGAUGUGUAGGAUAGGUGGGAGGCUUUGAAGUGUGGACGCCAGUCUGCAUGGAGCCGACCUUGAAAUACCACCCUUUAAUGUUUGAUGUUCUAACGUUGACCCGUGAUCCGGGUUGCGGACAGUGUCUGGUGGGUAGUUUGACUGGGGCGGUCUCCUCCUAAAGAGUAACGGAGGAGCACGAAGGUUGGCUAAUCCUGGUCGGACAUCAGGAGGUUAGUGCAAUGGCAUAAGCCAGCUUGACUGCGAGCGUGACGGCGCGAGCAGGUGCGAAAGCAGGUCAUAGUGAUCCGGUGGUUCUGAAUGGAAGGGCCAUCGCUCAACGGAUAAAAGGUACUCCGGGGAUAACAGGCUGAUACCGCCCAAGAGUUCAUAUCGACGGCGGUGUUUGGCACCUCGAUGUCGGCUCAUCACAUCCUGGGGCUGAAGUAGGUCCCAAGGGUAUGGCUGUUCGCCAUUUAAAGUGGUACGCGAGCUGGGUUUAGAACGUCGUGAGACAGUUCGGUCCCUAUCUGCCGUGGGCGCUGGAGAAUUGAGGGGGGCUGCUCCUAGUACGAGAGGACCGGAGUGGACGCAUCACUGGUGUUCGGGUUGUCAUGCCAAUGGCACUGCCCGGUAGCUAAAUGCGGAAGAGAUAAGUGCUGAAAGCAUCUAAGCACGAAACUUGCCCCGAGAUGAGUUCUCCCUGACUCCUUGAGAGUCCUGAAGGAACGUUGAAGACGACGACGUUGAUAGGCCGGGUGUGUAAGCGCAGCGAUGCGUUGAGCUAACCGGUACUAAUGAACCGUGAGGCUUAACCUU
RNAcentral lists this ribosomal RNA (2904 nucleotides) under Escherichia coli. Its description in RNAcentral is "23S ribosomal RNA". It matches the Rfam family "Bacterial large subunit ribosomal RNA". Lineage: Bacteria; Pseudomonadati; Pseudomonadota; Gammaproteobacteria; Enterobacterales; Enterobacteriaceae. The record is from RNAcentral.